AGAACGCCCGGGCUUCGGCCUGGUUAUUCAUAACCCUUUGUUGUCCGACUCUGUUGCCUCCGGGGCGACCCUGCCUUCGGGCGGGGGCUCCGGGUGGACACUUCAAACUCUUGCGUAACUUUGCAGUCUGAGUAAACUUAAUUAAUAAAUUAAAACUUUUAACAACGGAUCUCUUGGUUCUGGCAUCGAUGAAGAACGCAGCGAAAUGCGAUAAGUAAUGUGAAUUGCAGAAUUCAGUGAAUCAUCGAAUCUUUGAACGCACAUUGCGCCCCCUGGUAUUCCGGGGGGCAUGCCUGUUCGAGCGUCAUUUCACCACUCAAGCCUCGCUUGGUAUUGGGCAACGCGGUCCGCCGCGUGCCUCAAAUCGUCCGGCUGGGUCUUCUGUCCCCUAAGCGUUGUGGAAACUAUUCGCUAAAGGGUGUUCGGGAGGCUACGCCGUAAAACAACCCCAUUUCUAAGGUUGACCUCGGAUCAGGUAGGGAUACCCGCUGAACUUAAGCAUAUCAAUAAGCGGAG
Molecule: ribosomal RNA, 516 nt
Filed under: uncultured fungus
Lineage: Eukaryota; Fungi
Description: eukaryotic LSU rRNA
Rfam family: 5.8S ribosomal RNA (bases 154-307)
Source: RNAcentral